AGAAGGAGAGGGGUUCCGAAUAGACAAAGGAGUGACCAAAACAGGAGGAGGAGAAGAAAUACUCGGUUGGUCUAAUGAAUGAAAGGCACGAUUGGCCUCAGUCGCAAAUAAUCUGCGCUUCACCGAUGACCAAAGUUGUUCGAAAAGAGGGUGAGUAGCAUGACAAGGAUUAAAAGGGGCUAAUGAAAAAUGGCUUGAUAAAUGGAGGUUGCGAGCGUUUAUAGCCUCUGCUUCCACCUUAU
Molecule: long non-coding RNA, 242 nt
Filed under: Olea europaea (common olive)
Lineage: Eukaryota; Viridiplantae; Streptophyta; Magnoliopsida; Lamiales; Oleaceae
Description: long non-coding RNA (OEUR_LNC011126)
Source: RNAcentral